UACAGAGGGUGCGAGCGUUAAUCGGAAUUACUGGGCGUAAAGCGCACGUAGGUGGCUUUGCAAGUCGAUUGUGAAAACCCCGGGCUUAACCUGGGAACUGCAGUCGAGACUGCUUUGCUUGAGUAUGGGAGAGGGAGGUGGAAUUUCCGGUGUAGCGGUGAAAUGCGUAGAUAUCGGAAGGAACAUCAGUGGCGAAGGCGACCUCCUGGACCAAUACUGACACUCAAGUGCGAAAGCGUGGGGAGCAAACAGG
Molecule: ribosomal RNA, 253 nt
Filed under: uncultured bacterium
Lineage: Bacteria
Description: partial 16S ribosomal RNA
Rfam family: Bacterial small subunit ribosomal RNA
Source: RNAcentral